AGGCCUUGGCAUUGUGGAGAUGAACUAGGCAGGCCCUCUCCCUCAAGUACUUCCCAGCCCAGGGAAGGGGGCAGGACCACACCUGAGGGCUAUCCUAGAGAUCUGAACAGUGGGGACAGAAUGAAGAGAGCUGGCUUGGACAGCUUUAUGUAGCAGAGCUGGUACAAGCGACUUAGGCCUUGAAGGGACUCCUGAGCAUCAUUCAGGGAAUUCUCUGGUCUCAAAGGCAAAGGAACCAGCUGAUUUAUCUGAUUUAUCCCUGGGAGCCACACCCAGCACAGGGCCAAGCACGAACACAACAUCACAUGAACGAGGACAGUGAGUCACUCGGGAUAUGGAGAGAUGCAAGAGGAUCAGAAGUUUGAGGCCAUCCUCAGGAACACAGCAAGUCUGAGGGCAGCCCGAGCCACACAAGCCUCUUACCAAGAAAGGAUGAAGCAGAUGUUCCCACUCUACUCUAAAAUAGGCUGCCAAGCACACCCAAGAGUGUGUCUUGUGACCCCACAUUAGAAGACCUUGACACUCGGUGUGAUCGCAUCACAGAACCUGAUCUAUACCCAAGGGUGGGAACCGAAUCAGACGUCCCUACCCAUCAUGGAGGCCCUCCCACUCACUCACUCACUCACUCACUACUGUGUGACCUUGGGAAGCCACUGAACUGCUCUAGUCUCUCAACCGUAAGAUAGACUAAUGGUUACAUCUCCCCUGAGAGCUUGGCAGAAGGGUUAACAUUAAUAUGUACUGAAUGCUAUUGAUUAUAUAAAGUUAUUGUAUA
This 775-nucleotide long non-coding RNA is filed under the name Mus pahari (shrew mouse). RNAcentral describes it as "lncRNA (MGP_PahariEiJ_G0004267.1)". Lineage: Eukaryota; Metazoa; Chordata; Mammalia; Rodentia; Muridae. The record is from RNAcentral.